Non-coding RNA from Anas platyrhynchos (mallard), 20985 nucleotides. The record is from RefSeq and is a predicted model, not a curated record. Lineage: Eukaryota; Metazoa; Chordata; Aves; Anseriformes; Anatidae.
CCUUAAUUGUGUCCCUGGGUAAAACUGGGAAAUGAGGCAUGAAUUCUCUCUACUUUCAGUAAACUUGGAAAGAAAACGUGCUGUAUUAGAUGGUUAUUUUUCUUGAUCUAUUGACAGUAUUUUAAAAGAAGCAGGUUAAAUUUGUGUAUGCAUACGUUGCUUGAAGGGCUACUGUAAUACAUGCAUCCACUCCCACUGCCACAACCAUUUUAAGGAAAAAUACUAUUUCAUCUGCUUAAUGAAAUGUAUAAUUUGCAUCAUACACAUGAAAUAUUUUUUAAGCUGCAAAUUUUGAAGUGUGAACUCUAAUGCAUUAGUACCUCUCGCUGAAAUAUGCCAAGUUUCUGCCAGGCAACUGUUGUUGAGCAGGGGUGAAGUGCCAUAGCUAAGACAAAGAGGAAGUCAAAGCCCUGCCUUAUCGGUAAUGUGAGAAGAUGUUUGGCAAAGAACAACUAUUCCAGGAGCUAAGAACUUGUAUUUCUGUUUAAGAUUUAAACUUUUUUAGAUCAAUUAUUUUCAGCAAUUGUAGUGUUGUAAAAGGAGCCUGGUACGUGUAUUUGGUGUUGUGGCCCCUGCCCAUGUGGCCAUGCGUGCCCUGAGAGCACGGCGCUGUUAGGGGUGGGGUUGGGGUGCACUGACCGAUGGUAUAAACCACUUCCACAUCGUCCAUCUGCGAGUCCGUGAUGCUGUUCUUGGCCUCGCCUUUCACAUCUCCCAGGAGAAAUCCUUCCUUUUGAGGGGAAGAAAGAUGGAAAAUGAAGUUUGCAGGGCAAACACCAACACCAGGUGACUGCAAUCUGCCAUGCACUGGAUCUGCUGCAUGUCUCUAUCAAAGGGAAGCCAGCUUCCCUGGUGCUUCCGCAGUUGGCAAUGAAGAAUAGAAGAUAAACAAUUUUCCAGCACAUUCUGCAGCCUGUUGCAAAGACAUCAUAUUGACAUUAAUUCUAUUUCUCAGAUAAACAAGCCUAAUUUUCAUUCAUAUGCUGUGGUGUCUCUGAGAACAGUGUAAACUUUCUGCAAAAGUUCUUCAGAGCCAAACCAUUCAGUUAGUCCUUACACUUGAUAGAAGUGAAGUCCCAAAGCAAACUGGGAAUUUUGUGUCAGUAAAUAACUUAGUGUAACAUAGAUCCUUUGGAUCAUGCACUGGUACAGUAAUUCCUACAUGGGAUGCUAAAUUACUCUUAAAAAGUAGUCUCUAAAUAAUGCAAGAUUGACUUACCACCAUAUGCAUCAAGAAUUACUGACACUGCUUUUGACAACGUGUCUAAAAUGCAUAUGCUCUCAUUAGUGUCUGCAAACAUCUCUGGAAUCUGGUCCAACAAGCUAUGAAAGAAGAAAAGUUCAGUGUCUCAACUAGUUAGUGUAUUUGGGAUAAUCCCCAAAAAUGUGACAUACCAAGUCUUUAUAGAGGAAGUUCUUUUCCAUGCAAGUUUAUACUUAAAAAUUUUGAUUUCUUAGGAUUCCAGCCAGAAUAAAAUGAAACAUGAAUUUUAAAAUUCUAUUGAAAUGCAUUAUUUCAAAGUUGAUAACAUAAAGGAACAUGCAUUAAAUCAAAAAUAGCUAAAAAUAAAGGAGUUCUAGUAUGGAUAAAGACUUAAGAGUCUUUAGAUCAUACCUAGGCAUGCAUCACAUAUAUAGGAGGAAAACCAGGAAAAACAUGCAACAUAGCAGAAAGCCACAGCCCGCCCUCCCACUUCUGAUGAAGCAGAGCUGAAGAUGCCUGGCUCACAGCUGGUCUAAACAGGCUUUCAAAUUCAGCAUUGCGCGUUGCUGCUACAUUUGCUUCCCCUCAGAGGUGGAAAUAUAAGACUUGAUGCAUCUGCUGACUUGUAAAGCAUUUCAACAAAUUCAUGCAUCCUCCAAAACCCCGUAACACAAUUGACUAAAAGGGAAAAAGUCUAUUCUAAGCAUUCAGCUCUUAUUCCAAUAUGGAAUUAUUGUACUUUACUUGUUAACAACAGAUCGUGAUUCCUGAAAGCUAACACGGAAACCAUCCAGCAAAGGAACAAAAACUUCUCCAACACCUGAGACCACCAUCAUCUGAGGCUGAGCUAAGUUGCUUUUUACUUUAAAGAAGUGGAUGGCCUUGUUAUAAGUGACAAAACCAACUCGAAUUGCUGAGGAUUCUUCUUGCUCUUCUCUGUGAGAAAAACAAAAAACAAGUGGUUAUAAUUUUGAAACUCUGGCCUUGCAAUAGAAGCAUUCAUUUGAAAUACAGGGCUGCUUUCAUUAUCUGUACUGGGAGCAACAAAGCAAACAACCAACCAGAUGCAAUUGCCCUAGUCUUUGCCUCAGGUCAAAUUAAAACAACCAUAUUAAAUCAACCAUUGCAAAUUUAUUUUAUAAUAUAUAUUAAAGUCAACCCUAUCAACUGUGCAUCCCAUUCAAGCAGGCAAGAGUAUCUAAGAUAAAGAAUAGACCCUGUCUUCAAAACAUGGAAAAGAGGGAACAGGACAAUCCUUUACAAGACACAAUCAGAAAAUCAGCUUUAUUUAGAAUACAUUGUAAUUCAGUGACACUCACUAUCAAUGCCUGGAGAGAACAGUUACUAGGCUUGAAUAAUGAAUGUCUGGUGACUUUCAGAGUUCGGUGGCUCGAUCUUCUGCUUUGGCAGGACUGCUUUUAAGCAGCAAAAGGUCUUGGAUCCCUCAGUCGUGCAUCAUACAGAAAAUGUACUAUAGAAAUUUCUCGUUAUUCCUAGUGUGUUCCCAGGCCAACUAAAGCUCACAAACCGCUGCCAUGAGCUACCCCUGCAAGAACACUGCAAGCAGUGAGCUCAGGAGCUGUUUUUCAGGAGGUAACUCCCCUAAGCACUAGUUACUGUGUCAUUAUUAGCAGUAUCAUUAAUAAGACUAAUGAGACCAGGUUUGCAGCCCUAAGUUUAGUAGAAGGCAACUGUAUUCCAAAAAUCAGUCUUAAUUACUUCUAAAAUAGCACAUACUCUUAGUUUUACAAGCUUCAUCUAAAACCUUGAGCUUGGGAGGGAAACCAUUUUUCAUUCAAUAAAGAAUGCUAAUCCACCAUUCCUGCUCUGUGGAAGCAGCUGGAUGAGAAAGGGGCUACCUUUAAUUUAAAACAAACCAGUAUUCUGUAUGAACACAUUCCAUAAAGAAGCAUUUUAAACAAUCUCUCCGAGAUCCUCUAACUCAACUAGAUGCAUCCUUUCUGAAUGCAAGUCUCUAAUCAUUCCUAGCAAUCAGACACUACUAUUUUCCAAGUAACAUGAUUAACAGGGAGCAUUCAGGACAAGUUAUUACUAAGUUUAGGCACAUAUAGCACUCUUCUACUUCGAGAAGAAAUAGCCACAUCAUCCUACUGGUUCCAACACUUUUACAUAGCAGAUAUUUGGGACAAUUUCAUCAGACAAUUACAGUGUGGCAGUCUGCACACUUUAUACAAUUUGAUUUCUUCUAUCAUUGUUUUAAAGAUCCCUUGUCAAACACAGCAGUUGAUUGCCUGUGCAGCUAACACACUUGGUUCUUUUUAACGUCUCAGAAGGAGAUGUCUGAAUCAAAUGUACUCAAUUUUUUUUUAAGUUAUAUGGCUAAAAAUCAUAUUGGUACAAAUAGCCUGAUUCUCUGAGGUCAGGAGCAGAAUUUCUGUAAGCACAUUUCUCUGUAUUUCUCUAAAUAGAGAAUCAGUGUUCUGGUUUAGAACAUCUAAAUUUGAAAGUGUCUGCCCUAAAACUUCUAGCAAGCAAAUAACGUGUUUUCUGCUAUGCUGCAAAUCUGCAGAAGCAUAAGGCCCUUUUAACACGAAGUCUCUAGACACCUAGCUUAGUCCAUUAUUUGCUAGCUUUAACUUCUCACUUCUCAGCCGUUCUCACAGGCUUACCUGCCACAAGCUGCUACACCAGUGGCCUUUUUGUUACACAUUGCUCUGUUAACCAGAAGUCUUUCCUCUUAAAGAAUUUGGGCUCCCGGAAAUCUGAGCACAGGGUGAAUUCCCAGCACGAUGUUUUCACCUCAUGUGAUAACAGCAGAAUAUUUUUGCAGGUGUCUUUUUUCAGCAACAGAAAAUGAACACACAGUGAAGUUCGUGUCUUGGCACCAAAAUAAAAGUUUCACCACAAAUGCUGGUGGAGUGAGUGCCACCAAUUUUUAAUUCAUAUUGUUUAAAGGCAACAGACAACUCUGAAGCAACUCACAGGCCUGCUCUUUAUUUAUUUAUUUAUCUUGCUUUUUUCAGUGGACAUGAAAACUUUGUCCAUGCAAACAGGGUAUUUAGCAGUAGAUAUCUGCAGAGUGCUUGUGAGGAAAAGAGUAUGUAUACUAUUUCUUGUGAUGUAGAUACACUUGCUUUCAUUUUUCCUUUACUUUCUCUAUUCAAGACUAGGUGUUCCUAAACUGCCAAUUGUUUUUUGCUACUAUGCUCGCGGCCUUUUAUUAUCUUCAGAGUCAUGACCAAUCCUGAUAGAAAGCUCUGAGAUAUGUUCAGGACAAUAUCAAACACUCAUGUCUCCAGUGUAAUCUUCAAUGACAAAGUGCUCCAGGGAUGGUCUUACAUGGGCAUCUAACAAACUAACUCCCCACCCUGAACUGGAAUUUCUUUCAUGCACAGAGAUCCAACAAGCACAUAGGAUAAAAAGAUUUUUAACAUAUCCCAGAUUAUCUCAAGGAUCUUGUCUCCCACUCUUCCUCACUUUGCUCCCUCUGUUUCUUAAGCCUGUUCUCCCUCUACAAACACUGUUAUUUGGAAUGUGUUUUCUUUCUGUAUGCUCUUUGAUCCUUUUGUAUGCCUCAACUAAGUAACACCUUGUCUACUUCAUUUUUUCAGUCUGACUUCCACUGCUUUCAUUUAACUGUUGGCAUUAUUUAAAUGUUAAUAAAAACUGCCCAUAACAUAUCAUACUAAAAACUACACAAAACCACACUAAAGUAAUAUACCAUGAUUAAUACAGAUCAGUAUUAAUAGUACUACUACACGUUUAAUGCUGACAUCGCAAACGUGCCAUAUUUAACAGAAUAUCAGUUGCCUAAAAGAUUUGCUAGCCUCUCAGAUACAUACCAGGGCAGAAAAAUCUCACAACAAAGCAAGCUAAGAGAUCUGCUGAUUAACAAAAAAGAGCUAAAGAUAUGACCCACCAACACUGGCUUUAGAGAGACUUUACUUUCUUGAGAUUCUGGUUUGUGGUAUUUCUCUGCUUAAUUUAAGGAGAAAAGCAGUACUACAGUAAACAGAACUACAGAAAGUAAAGUCAAAACCACAAGCUGGGACUUAGCUGAUAACACCACUAGAGUUCAGUACAGGAAAAGAAAAGAAAGGAUGCUGCAUGUUCAAUCAGUGCAUCACAUUCCUUCUGUUCAUAGAAUAAACCCAGAUAUCAAACUGAGUUUUUCAAAAACUGUCAGCAAUUUUAAAAUUACCAUUUAGUCACUAUCACCUCAAAAUGCCUGUACUGGAAAUUCUGUCAUUUUUAGCACUUCCUUGGUUUUACCUCUCAACAUGCAUAGCUUCUUGAAAUCUGUAGUAUGGUACAUUGAGCAAAACACACUUAUGUUUCUUUACCUUGGAAGCUUAUCUAGCAGAGUCUUCCUGUUCCUCACUGAAGAGUUCAACUAGGCCACUGUUUAUAUUUCUGUAUGAUACAUCAAUCACGAAGAUAUAAGCUGGUGGAUUUGGAGGCUUGUUAUCCUAUGGAAAAAAUAUUGACAGGGAAAAUUAGACAGUGUCAUGUUAAUGUUGACUGCACAGCUUCUUAGCCACAGUUGUACAUAAGAGACAUGUAAGUAGCAUACAUAUUGUGAUAUACACUACUGACCAAGCUUCUGUGACUAUCAAGAUGAUGAUUGUUUAUUUUUGUUUAAAAAAAAGCAAUGUAAUGCUUACAGAUGUACCCAGGAAGAUCAUAUAGAGUGCACAUAGCAACAGAAAUCACGAUGGGCCCAGCCAUACACCUAAGUUCGUUUUUUCUAAUUCUGAUUAAGAUGAGUAGUGGUCGUUACCUGGUGUCAAAUUCAGGACAACUUUUCCAUUAUAGUUAUUUAUGCUAUUUCACUGCCUUCAUAUAAAGGAUUCUGACCACCUACCAAAUUAUACUCAUAACAAAGAAACCACAGAAAACUCCAUCUAAGAAAAAAUCAUCUAAUCCUUGAAUUAUGACUUAUCCAUAGUCAUAUCCUCAGAACACAUAAAAUUAAACAUUAUACCCUUGAUCUCACUUCAUCUGAAUCAUGUAAAUCAAGAUCAACUUGUCAACUAAAACCAGACAGUAUUGUUCUGUUUUCUGUAUUUGUAUACUAGUUUCAAAAGACAUAUCAAACAUUACUUUCUGAACUCUCGUAGCACAUUGCUAUUUAUAAAGAAUUCCUGCAUAAUUUCUGACAAAUAUAUGGCAGAAAUGAGAACUAGUGCUCUUGCCACAUCCGCUUAGCAGGAGCACAAUAACGCAAAACAGCUGUUAUUUGUUAACAUUUUUUGUAGCUGUUCAUCCUUGUCAUUUGAUAAGCACAAAAGGAAAUGGCUUUUCAGUUCUGGUCUUAAACUGAUUUAUAAAAGAACUAAACUUUUCUAACUUGGAGCAAAAUGAGAAAAUUAUUAUAAAAUAAUGUUAACUUCUCUAAAAUUCAGUGACUAACAGUUUCCAGUGUGAAUGUUGAUUUUAUCAGAGAUUUAUUUUUUGUAUCAUUCUGCUGAGUCUAUGGAAGAGGUCUUUGCAACAAGAAGACAAACCAUGCUAGAUGGCUUAUCACAGAAGCUCCCUCAUUGAAACUGUAUGGCAAAUUCACUGCACUGAAAGCAAGACUGUGAUGAUGAACACAGGGUUACAUGUUAGAGAAAAAGAACUGUGAAAACGGCAUGGAGCUGUUCAGUAUACACAUUUUCAAAAGCUUAGCUGCAGAAAGCAGCAAAGCUACACUGAGGAUCCCACAUUAUUUCUGUAAUGCCCCAUUACAGCCACUGAGUUCUCUCCUGUCCUGAGGUUUAACGCAGAUGUCAAUGGAAUCUCUAAAGGCAGUCUCCGGGAUUUCACUGGACUUCGUGAGAGACCAGAAUUAAACAACCCGUUCAUUUCUUCGUACACCAGCAAUAAUCUGAUGGUCUGAGGAAGUUACUUGUACGUACUUCAAGGCUUUGUUGGAUUGAACCGCCUUUCAUAAUUUUAUCAUACCCACAUUCCACUGAUGGGAAGAAAAUUUCACCUUCUUUCAGAAACGACCAAAAAAUAUGUCCAUGCUGUGGGCAGGUGAGGUCACGCUAGGAAGAAAAAUUUUGUCAAGUUUGAAAAGCUUAAAUAAUUUGUGCUUUUGGCAGUACAAAAUACAUUUAUCUAAUAAAAUCAACUACAAAUACUUCCAGUGACUUGAGUAGACUUUGGAACAAGUUCUUAACUAAUUUAGUAUUAGGACAGAGAACUCAUUCCAUUAUAACUUACUGGUCAGAACACUAAAACUACUCAUGCCAAGAAAAGAUUCAGAUUCCCAUGCUAAGGUUUGAAAAGCUGAGAAGGCAAUUCAGGUGCAUGUCUGUCUGCAAAAUUAGUAAGUCAUGCAGCUAAAAACCAAAACUGCAUCACAGAAUUUGAACUAUAACCUCUGAACAUUCUCUACAUCUUUCCAAGGACCAAACCCGCACCUCAGUUGAAGAUUUGUGAUCCAUGACUUUGAGGAACUUUUGAUUACUGUUAGUUGCUAGUCUCCAACACAAAAGAGCAAAACAUUAUUGUAAGCUUAAAUCCUCCACAUCUGAAAAUUUCCUAAAAUGUUCUUGGACUCUGAUAUUCAGCUUAUAAAUGCAUUUACUCCAACAUAGGUAUUUAAAGGAUUUUGUUUGUGUUGACAUAAAAUCAUAAAUUAUUUUGUGCAUUGGAAAUACUCAGCAAUAAUCCAAAGUAGCAACGUAUUCAUAUGAUCCCACAGAUAGCUCAGGUCUUUCAUAAUGGUCUACCCGUCAGACAAUGUGGUCCAGAUGUUGAAAGAAGAACAGUGGGACUAAAAACCAAUACAAGAGCAGGAAAAAAAAUGUUUACAGUGUGGAGAGGAACAACCCAACAACUCCUUUCAAAAGUUACCAUGUGGUAACACAGGCUCCUCUUUAUUGAUCAAGGAGGUGUGUAAACACUUCGCCAGGUUAUAAUAUUUUUUUCUUCAUGCUGAUUUAAGAAAACAAACAAAGCUCACAACAUUCUAGUAAUGCAAGCUCGUCUUGUAUUUGGAGAAUACAAUCCCCCCAUGAAUGUCAAUUUUCUCUUGUCUCUACCCUGUUAAGCCUGAGUAGGUAAAACUGAUCCAGGUUAUUUCCACAGGCAGGAGUCUGCUAUCCUCAGGCUACAGAUUAAAUUAUGGCUAUUUUGUUAGAAAGAUACCAUCUACUCAAAGCUUAAUUCACAUCACCGGAGUUAAAAACAGAACUUUUCCUAAAGCCUGUGCUGCUUUAUGCAACAUUACCACUUCACUGGAAAUAGCUCUGCAACGUUCACAAACCUGGCCUACUGUACAGCAAGCUGCCUUCAGUCCAUAGCUAGUCUAAUGGCUAGUCACACUGGGAAGAGUCACCUCUGGAUUUUAGCUCUUUUUUUCUCAAUCUUUACACAUUUAGAAUGUUAUUUUUUACAUUUCUGUCUGUUCAAAGCAGGGUAUGCAGAAUAUCUACCUAGUUUUUGGGGCAUUUUAAGGUCUCAUUAAUGUUUUUAAGUGUUUUCCAAUGUGGAUAAAAGACACUACUAAUACAUGUACAAAGCAUGAUUGAAAAUGAUACUGCAACUGAAAUGUCUUAAAAUGUUCAUAACAGAUUCAAAUUUCUCUUUAUGAGAGUUUAAAUUGCUAACAAACUAGGAAAUUUGCUAUCUGCUAUGCUUGCACAAACAUCAGAGCCUCAGGCAGAAAAGAAGUUGGAAUGAGCCUGUCAAGGUUCACGUUUCAGAGUUGAAAAGAUUACUGUAUUAGGGAAAGCACUAUACCACUGUGAUCCAGCUGAGGAAAUCCAACUUGAUACAAAUGUCUAGAAAGGCUACUUCUGGCAAAGAUCUGGGAUUUAGCCAAGAGCACAAGAACAGUUAUGAGUCACAUGCAGCACACUUGAACAAAUAUGGCAUGGUAUCUUCUGUGAAAACCAACACUUGUCACAGGAAGAUUAAUAGGCUAUUUAACCACUGUAUCCACAGUCGUGGCCAGGACUAGUCUAACAUGGUUCUAAAUAAUUCUUUGCUGAACAUUUAGAUUUCUUGAAGAAAUUAAUUUCUCUACAAAAAAGUUGCUUUUGGUUAGCAAUACAAGCAACUUUAUAUCCUAUGCUGACGUAGUAUUUUAAAAUAAACUUUUGACCAUAACAGACUGGACUUGGAAUUCAUGGUUUAGCAUUAUUUUUUCUUAUAUUUAUUUUUAAAAACCGAACUGAAGAAGAAGUGUUUUAAGUAUUUUUACCAAGUAGUAUUUUGUGUUGUUGUUUUAAUUUGUGAAAUAGCCCUUGCCACUGCAUCUCACUAUACUAUUUUCAAGUCAUCUAGUCAGGAAAAUCACUUCAGGGAUACAGUUCCUUUUUAGUUUUAUAGAAUUUGUAUGGACCACAGAUCAGAGAAAUAUCACUUCCCAUCAUUUAUGCAAUUGCAAAAUCCACACUGAUACCUUCUUCCAUCUUCAAUAAACUGCAUGAAGGGACACAUGUAAGCUUUGCACCUGUUACAUCAGAUUGGUCCAGUCUCACCAUGGUUUGCAACAUAAAGAGGUGUCUAAAUGAAGGGGUACAUGAAGUUAUAAAAAGCACUGCAAACUUGAAACCAAAUAAAGUGAGCUAGAAAGCUGCUGCUCAGCCUUAACACUUGUUAGAUUUCAGCUGACCAAGAAAUUGUUGUUCAGCAUUUAUUCAAAUUCUCCAGUACAGCUGGUUCAACCUCAUAGGUCCCCUAAAGAACUUAAUUUUCAAGCUUGCAAGCUCCCUAUUUUGGUAUUUAUCAGAAAGCAAUAAAGGAUCCAUACAAGGAGCCUACAAAACUUUGAAAGCAUUGGAAGUUCAGGGCUCUAGGCUGACUUUCUCCAGCAAAGGGUUUUUAUAGCUCAAAAGGGAGAAAUCUGCUGGGGUCAGGUAUUUCGCCUUCUCUAUCAGAUUGAGCUUUUCUCAAAUAAAUUUGUUGAUACUCACUGAUUGCAUGCAGCUAUUGCAAACAGGUAGUUACUAAGAAAGCUUCUAAUAUUUUCAAUUAAAUGCCCUUCCCCCUAAUGCUGCUGUGUUACAUGCUAUACUAAGGUUUAAUGCUGCCAGGGUCACCAGCUAGAGUAGAAGAUUUAGAAGUACUAAUAUUUACUGAAGGAAAGAACAUACAGUAAACAAAUACAGUAUCUCAAACACUUGUCAGCUUAAUUACACUGACCAUGCUUGCUUAUAGCCUCUGCCAAAAACCACAGCUAAUGGAAGACAUUUUCCAGAUGCCUCUUGCAGUAAUAACUGUGCAGCAACUGAAAGAUUCCUGUAAUUGUAAUUUAUGUUACAAAAGUCAUACUUGAAACCACCGCACAAAUGGAAGUUUGUUCAAUUAUUUGUGAAACUCUAUGGAGCAUAAACAAACGUGGUUUUUCUUUUUUCUUUUUUUUCUUUCUUACUCCCUUCAACCCUAACUAAAAUCUCUGACUGUAAGAGUAAGAAAAUAAAUCCAGAGUUGGGCCCCAUGAUAGAUCUCUACAAGAGGAAGAACACUGACAACCCUCGAAUGCUAGAACUUUUCCACUAGCAUAUUCACUUAUUUAAAAUUAUUGUCUCUUAUGGAAUGGACAUAUUUAAUCUAUUAUACACUUUUAUCUUUUAUUGGAGCAUAAGAGUCUUUGAAUACCUAGAGAGUCAUACAUGUUCUUCUAGCAUUCACUGCUUACAUGUAUUUUAUUGUUUGUUUAUAUUUUACAGAGACAAUUAUUUUACUUAUUUAUUUCUCCAAAGGAUUUGAUGCUUUUUGCCAAGAACUUACUACACAGUACAUACGGGUAGAUUUUACUACAUGGGUUUUAAGUGAUCCCUCCUGCUCCACUGAGAUAAUACAUUGCUUCAUGUUCUUUCUUCUACGAAAACUGAGUUUAACACAAAUUGACACAUAAUGUCAGUUGGCAAACUAUCAGGGUCAUUUUUCAGACACUAGAGCCUUGGCUAUAAAACCUGCUUACUAGCCACAAUAACUUAAGUUUUAGAACUUCUGGGUUUUGUUCAUUACUUGGCAAUUUUCUGAUUAUCAUUCUGCUGUAUUAAUUUAAUGAGGCCUGGAUCUGGCUUGCCAUUAAUAAUACAGUAUCUGAACAGGUAGGGAAAAAAGACACCCUUACACAACACCCCAUGUAUUUAUACACAUUUUUUUAGUGAUUUUAAGCCCUGUUCUAAUACACUUAAUGUUAUUCAAGAGCAGAGAAAAAUUACUCUCAAAUGACCAUAUUUUGAAAUACCUUAUUAAAAUUAAGAUCUUUACCUAUAAAGCAUGAAUAAGAAAAAUCAUAAAAAUAAAUGCCAUAAAGUUCAGAGCCUAGGUAGCAACAUUCUUCUACAUACUUAAUAAAUUACCUUUUUAAUGACAGCAGAAACAAAAUAUUAUUUUUUUCCUUGUCUUUCCAUUUCUGGAGUGGAAAUAUUUAUCUUUCAUCUCCCUUAAGCUUCAUUAAAAAAAUUUACUUAUUACGAAGUUUUUUUUAAUGUGGUUUUAGAGCCCUAAUAGCCUACGGGUUACUAAGAUCUGCACGUAUGUUUAACUUUCUGCAUCAAACGUUCUUCUUGAAGUCAACGAGACUAUGUGCAGUGCAUGAAGUUAAAAUAUGCUGUCAAGUUUUACAAAACCAGUAUUCCAAUCUUAUGUAGAGAAAUAAAAGAUAAAAUACCAAUAAAAUCAUACUGGAGAGGCUGGCUAUUUUUAGUUUCCAAAAAACUUGCAAAAACUAUAAAACAAAACAAAACAAAACCCCAAAUCAAUGGAAUUAAGCCUAACUAAGAAAUGCAUGCAAUAGACUGAAGGAUUUUGUCUAACAGAAAAAUCUUGAAAAAAAUACCUGUUUUUUUGAUUUCUUAAUGUGAAAUGUCCAUUUACCUUUCAGUAUUUUCUUAAAGUAAUUUAAACCACUACAUCACUAAUGAACAUAUCUAAUAAUAAACCAUUUUACAUGAUAAUUUUUGAAUACAGACUCAGACUGAAAUCAUCCAGACCCACUUCUUCACAACACAGUUGUUACACAAAUUCAUUUCUGUUUGGGUGGGUAAACUGCUAUUACAUUUCCAACUGUCAAUUUCCAUUAGAGUCAAAAAACUUUUUUUUCUUUUUAAUACCUAAAUCUUAUAGGAAUUUACAAAGAUAAAUGAUGUACAAGCAUUUAAAAAGAAAAAAAAAAAAACAAAAACAAGUCUACACUAAUGAAUACAUAAAACAAAAACUGUUGCCAUCCACAGCCCAAAAGAAAUGGUGCUAAAUGGGAAAGCCCUGCUUUCUAGGCUCCACAGCCUGUACUUCACUCUCUGUAGAUGUCACUGUACACCAGAAGAUAAAGGGAUCUGUUUACGGUCCCAUGGAACUCAGUGGCAAACUUUCACAGAAGGAGGGGAUUAAGAUAAAAUAAAAAAAACUCAGAUUCCUUUUUUUUUUUUUUUUUUGAAACCAGUGCAGUAUUCCUUUUCCUUUUGCUUCUCCAGCUAUAAACUACCAGCAUUUUCCUUCUCUCCUCCUGUAAUUUUCUACAAAUAAUAAAUGAAUCAAUUUAGGUAUCUACCAUAACUAUUCGAACAUUUGCUGUAUUUGUGUGUUUUGUUCUUGCACCUCUCCUACUCCUUUAUCUCCUCAAAAUCCUUUCCCCAAUUUACCUGUUUGGAUCACCUGACUGAGCACAGAGACAGUCCUCACAAAACUGGACACGUAAGCAUUGACUGUCAGCUUUCCAGCACUAUCAAAUUAUAAAUAUUUAUCAAAACCGAUGACUAAAACUACUACUCAGUAGGAUAAAUCUGACCUCGUAAAUAGAUUCCUUUUAUGUAAGCUGGAGGACUGGAGAAGCAGAAAGAAUCAGCUGCAGUGGGAGGCAGAACAGUAUGGUUUUCUGUUAAAGGGGAUUGGGCAGAAGAGAUGGAAAACGCUGUGGAAGACCUGCAUAAACUUUCCCUUCUCUGAAGCCUCAGGGCCCCACUACAGUGCAAGCCCUGAAAGCUGAUCUGAUAAACUAUAACUUAUCUCACUAUUAGUCCAAAUAUAGCUGGGAUAGCAAGAGUUAUUUUGGAAAUAUUUCAGCCAGAACAUCUCUCUGGAGUCAGCGCUGUAUCAGAGAGCAAUAGAUAGGCAUUGGUGGCACUGCUCCAAGAUGAAAUACAUCCAUAAAAAUUUCCAGAGGGACUAUAACCUGUGCUUUAAAGUCUCAGAGAGCUGAAUUACUAUUGCUUGCUAUAAAAGUGAAGACCUGACCUACUCCUGAGGGUUCCCUGUGAUGCCUGCAGAGUAUCACUGUUUUCAUAUUGCAGGAUCAGGGCCACAGCUGGAAAUUAUAAGUGUAGGAACAAGGACUGCGAUGAAGCUCAAGUUCAUCAUGGCACAUCUCUGGAAAAGCAUUCUGAAGAGAAAAUCAGAAGAGAGUCUCUGGAGAAUGAAAAAGAGGUAUAUGCAAACAGUGAUGAGAACUAGCUAUUUAUCACACAACAAACUGAAAAAUAUACACCAUCUGCUUUAAUUGCCAGACUCACAUACUGGGCUACAAGAAAACCUUUCGUAGCUGUGCUGCAAGUCGAAUCUCCAUAUGCAACAUACAAAAUGCCUUUGCCUCACAGCCAGUGUGGACUCCCCACAACAUACACCCUAUUAGUACCUGAUGAAUCUGCAUUAGGAGCAAUAUUUUUGCCUAGAGUUUGACUCCAUGAUCAUUUGAAUACGUUUAAUACCCCAGCGCUAAAAUGACAGGAACAUGUAUUGAAAUGAGACCCACACAACUUGCAAAUCUGGCUACAUCCAAGGGGAACACGAAAACUUGUACCAGGAUUGUACCAGCAAUUUUCAGUUGCACCAGUACCUCUAUCACAAUCCCUUCCUCCUCUUCCCCACCAGAUGAGGAAUUUGCGACCUGUUUUGGCAUAUACUUUUGAAGAACUUCACUGGUUUACAGAGAUAGCUGCUCUAUGCAAUGUUACACCGUAUACUAUACAUGACAAAUUGCCUGUUCAACUGCAAAUUAUCUCAGUACAAAUGAUUUUGAAAGCACAUCCCUUGAAAGAACCAUAUUUAGUAUCUGAGAUUUCAGGAGACUAGUUAAUUGAUGUGUUUAGAUGAGGGCUAUUUGUUUCUAAAGGAAGAUUAUCUCACGGGUUCGGAAAGCUGCACAGAUACAUAUCUCUUGAUGACUUAUAAUAUGAUAGUUCCUUAAAAUUACAUUCUACAGUACUCUAGCAUAUAAAGCAUUUUAUACUUCAGUACAGCAAACAUUAAACACAAUGUGUUUGCACAACUGAUUACCUGAAAUAAAGACACAACUGCCAGUUACUCAAUUCAGACAAUUCAUCCCACAGACAAGCUGUGUGGGGCAACAAAAUCCAGAAAGGCAGUGUUUCUAGAGCUAUUUACAUUGACAUUCAUGUAAGUCUGAUUAUUAAAAUAUUUAUACAAGCAUUUUAAGAGAGGCUACACAAUAUAACUUUUUAAUGAUCAGGGGGAGAUGAUUGUUGGCCAAGGUCAGUACCGCUGCCCCAUGCAAAUCUGCAAAUCUUGAGCUUCAUUUGUACAGUAGAAAGGUAAAGUCCACAGGAUAAUCAGAAAAUUUUGAAAUGUAGCGCUUUUUUUUUGGGGGGGGGGAAUGACAGGGACAACAACAACAACAAAAAACAACCCUAGGUCAUGAACUAAACUGCCUGUGUUUUCUAGGACUGUUGAAGCAUUUUGUUCUCUUUUAUUAUACCAUCACAGAUUGCUUUUGAGAACCAUUAACCAGUCAACAACAAUCCCCGGGUUUUGAGUUGCUUUACUGGUUCACAUUAAAAUGUCAUGAAAGCAUUUCCCUUUGUGAUGUUCCUACUGUCUUUUAUCAGAAGCCAUUCCCUCUGAAGUCAGAAGCAACUUUGCUGAUUAUUGAUUUCUGGAUGCUGAACACUAUGAGCCUCUUCAGCUGAUAUGACUCGAGCCAGUCUGUACUGCAUCCUCUAAAAAGGUCAUGGCAGGUUCAUAUAUUUUCUGUAAUAAUGCUUUUUCAUCUAUUUUAUUUGUUUGCAUAAUGCAGCACAGCUGAAGCGUCAACCCUAUGAUGCAAUCUCUCUUAGCUCUAACCCAAUUUUUUAUAAAUCUCAGUGAAAUGCAAGGAGUAUGUUGAAACCUUCUUGUUCAAAAAUCUUCCGCACCCAGGCCAAACAUGCACCUGCAUACAUGGUAGCAGGAAAAAUACUGGGGCAUGGCAGGUGAACUUCAAGUUGGCACUGCACAGGAAUAAGAACCAGCAUGUACCAAAAUCAACAGAAAGCUAAUCAAUGAUAUCAGUGCAUCGUAGGUCAGACUAUCCACAAAAUAUUUAUUCAGUCAGCGUUCCCUUCUUAAGGGGAACGUUGCAACUUACUGAAUAGAGCUAGUAGCAUGAAGAGUGCAAAUGCAGGCUUCUCUAAUCAAAAGUAGAAGGAUUUAAAGAAGUUUGGGGAUGGGGGAAACACAUGAAAUACUGAUAAAAUUUUGACACAAAGAAAGCCCAGAAGUAGGUAGCUUACUUCUUUAGAACUUCCAUAACCUACUGGUGGCAGAAGAAGGGAAAAAAAAAGUUUAAUAUCCAGGAUUAAUAGAGAGACAAUUUCUUCUGGUCACGAUGCCAGGUUGGGAAUACCAACUGUUAACAAGGCAGCUCUCUCCAGCACUUCUCAGCUUUGAAGUGGUGACUAUUAUUUGGAUGUACGGACAUGCUGCAUCUCAAGUGAAGGUCAGCCAGGAUUAACUGAUGAUAUAAGCAGGAGCGUGAAAUUGGAUAAUCAAGAAACUGUGCUGAACAACAGACUUUCAAAAUGUUAACACUUUAAAGAAUCAGAUCUCAAGCAGGACAUCUCUCAGUCGAGAGAGAUACACCUAUACUCAGCAGCAAAAGUGCAAGUUGGUGCUGCAAGGUGGUGCAGAGGCACGCACACAAGGUGAGAACAAUGGAAGGAGAAGGAAACAAAGCUACCCUAGGGCAGCUCAGCCCCCUCUUAGGGCUGCUGACGGUGACACGCACAUGUUAAAUCACAAGAGGAUACUGGUUCAUGCCUGGACUAAUCCACAGCUCCAUUUCCCACACGUCAGUAUCACAGAUGGUCCAGCACUGCAGUCCUUGUCUGAGAUUUUUUGGCAUUGUCACAUUAGUUGUAAAACCAUAGAAAAAUAGACAAGUUUAAGGUACCUUUUCUACAGAAAUGUUAAUAGUUACAAGAGGAGGUAGUCUAGCUUAAUUGAUAACAGAAGUUUCACAAUAAAAUCGGGAGUUUGAUUUUCCAUGAGAAGGCAUUCUGAUUUAAGAUGUCUGGCUUGACAUUCAUUCAGCAGAAAAUGAAAUAAAAGAUAGUGACAUAGUUUACAGAAGCAAAUGAAAUUAGCAACACAUUUUAUUUUUUUUUGCAAAUCACUGCAGAAAAGCCCUGAAGUAUCUUCAAAACAGCAGACAGACUUUGGGCUCUAAAUACUAUUUCUACUGACUUCUUAACAGGUCUAGUCUCUGCAUGUUUUGUACGGUCACAUCAGUGUUAGUUUAUACACACAAAAAUUUUCAGGAUGGCUAAAUACACAAUAAAUCUAACACCAGUUUAAAAUACAGGCACAACCUAUUACCUGCAAACAUAAUGGAUAAACUGGCAGAUCAAUUCUGUUUUAGAGUAGCCAACGACCACUUUUCACAAACACAGCUGUGACUGUUUCUAACACACUCUAGAAUAUCCUCAGGAUAGCCAGUCAGGCAACUCACCAAACAGGGCUCAGGGAACACGCAGCUCUAGGUUUAGGGAGCAAAUAUUUAAGUUUGUAAAUAAAUCUAAGUAUAGGGUUGUGUUCUAAUCUCUUAAGCAACAAUUCGGGAUGAAUUUCUGCCACAGGAGAGCAUUGCCAGUGUUAUUCAAACCUUUGCAGAAAGAACAAAACCAAAACCUAAAUGGAUUUCAGGAUCAUUGUGGCUACUGUCAGCGUCAGUGGCCAAACAGAUGGGGUUCUUCUGUUAUUUUGUACAGAUGCACACACACACAGAGGUAGGUAGACAAUGUAUGUAUACAUAUAAUUUUUGUCAGCAUUUGUGAGAAAAGUAUCUUACUGAUUUCAGAUUUACAGCAUGAAAGGUCUGUUGAAUGGAGGGUUUCUUUCCUUCUCAAAAACCUGGAGCUGUUUCUUUUUUUUUUUUUUGUUAGAAGGUAUUGCUAUGACUUUUUAAGCCAAGCUUACAUGUGUUUUAAUUCAAGGUGUAUUAAAUAGUUCUGCUUAACAUUGUUCAAGAAAGCAAGCAGGUAAGUAGUAAACAUGCUUCUAGGGCUAGUUAAUUUACUUCCAUUGAAAUUGGAAAGAAGUAAGAUUACCUGAAGUGUCAGGUAAUCUUGCCUCUAUUAGAGGAAUACUUAGAAAGAAUAAGGAGAAUUGUUAUUACGUGAACAAAAAGCAGCACAGGAUAUCUUAAUCUCUGAAGCAAGGAUAUAUGGGGUGAGUUUAAUAUCCUUUUUAAGUCCUUUCCAUGAUACAGAAGCUUAGCUUUGAAGGUCAGUAGCAAAACUAGCUGUUAUUUUAAAAGUAUAACAACAGGUAGGAGUGUUUAUAUUCUGAGUCUCCCUUCCAUGAAUACUUUCACUGCUAUGAUAGCUGGAUGCUUCAGGCAGACUCCAGGAUCUCCCAACAGUAAGAGUGUUUGUAUGCAGCUACACUCCUCUCUUUUAUUUGAAGCUUAAGCUGCUGCUGAAUAUCACAAGUAAGGGGCUGUGCAAAGAGCUAGGAGCUAAGCAGUCCUGGGAAGGACAAAAACCUGUACUAUUGCUCCUCUACUCUAAGGCUGAGGACAUCAUCUUUGCAUCUAUUUAGCAAGCACAGAUUACCUGAUUCUGUCAAACACUAAACAGAAAAGCCCCUCCUUCACAUUUAUUUCCUGUGCUACAAGAAGAGAAGGAUCCCUUCUCACAGAAUAAAGGGACAUAUGUAGAAGGCUUAGUCUCCCCUAUUUUCCUACAGGACAGCAUUAGAGCCUGCUAUGAUUAAGCCCUAGAUGUAGCCUCAUGCUGCUGACCUUCACUUGAGAUGCAGCAUGUCCACACAUCCAAAUAACACUUUGAUACUAAGAAUAAAUCUAAACAUUAAAAUAAUACAAAUAAAUAAGAUCAAACAACAUCAGCUUAUUCAGUUUACUAAAAACUUCUUUUUCCUUUGAAAUUACAUACAUUACAUUGUUCCAUUCACAAUAUGAUUCUGCACUACUGGACAGAUAAAUAAAAUAUGCAUAAACUGAACAUGCAAGAAUAGCUUCAGUAUAAAAAAAAAUAAAACUUUUCAUCCUGAACCAACUAAAUAGCAGGGUGUGCUGACUCUGUGAAGUUUCCAAGGUAACUGAGUAACAUCCCUGCAGGCUUAAUGUUAGAGCUCGCAGUCUUACAAUGUUUAAUUUGCUGCUGUUGCUAUGGUCAACUUUGGCCAGUGCAUAAGUGGAGACAAACACCAUUUCAGGAGAGCAACAUGCAGCCUGUAGAGGAAAAUGCACCCACAGAAUGUCAAGUGGCAUUCAAAGAGCUAUUUUGAGUUACAGAUGUAUCUAGCAAUAGCCAAUGUAAUUUUUUUUUUAUGAGUGUAAUUUUUGUUGGUGAAACAAAUAAGCGGCUAUGAUCAUUAUUUUUUAAUUCCCUCUUUCCCCUUGAUAUUUACUGGUGCUUAGUCAGGUUCUUCUUCAGCCAUGACCAUCCUGGAGAAUAGAUGGGUUCCAACUAAUCAGAAAGUAAUUACAUUAUCGUAACCUAAAUCUUCAGAAAUGCACUUUUCCCAGUCUAACCUUUCAAGACUGCUCGAAUUAAUCAGAGAUUCUGAUUAAAAUAUGAAUAAGGUAUGUAUGAAUGUCAAUUUUCCAAGUCACUGUCCCCAUCUCUUUCAGAAUUAAGUUCUUACUGUAACAACAGUGAUGCAAGGAGCAACACACUACGGAAGUAUGAAGAGUAUUUUAAAGUAUACACUAAAAACAAAAAUGGGAAAAAAUAAAUAAGGAAAUUUACUUGAAUUAGGAAAAACUGCGCGGCCAAAACCUUUGCUAACUUUGGCUCUACAUUCUUGUUACACCGUGUAGUGACAGCCCAAUAGGCUAACAAAAACUUUCUCCUAGAAGAUGAAGCCUUGGGAAGCAAUCCAAUUCCACAUGCUUUACUACCAAAUGCAGACUAGCGCUGGGCAUACUCCAUAAAGAAAGCCUUAUCUAAUACAGGAUUUAUGCAUCUCUAAAUUAGGCACUGCAAAACCUAGCUUGCAGGCACUGGCCUCCCGAGUGAUAUAAAGCUGUCGAGGUAAGGCACCUGGAGAUGCAUACAAGUUCUGGGCUCUCUAUACCAUGCAUGGAGUAGUCAGGCACCGCAGAGAGCUAUACAAAAAAACACAACAUUAACCUGGAGUUAGUCAGUAGGAGGAAGGAAAAAAAAAAAAAAAAAAGCACUGUAAGAGCAACAAGGCUCAACAACUUGUUUCCAGAUUCCAGCCGGACUCAGGACCACAAGACCAGUUCCACAGUUCCCUCUCAAAUGAAGGUGUUAACAGGUGUGCUUUGGAACAUGUUUUAACAUCCGAAAAAAUUGAGGAAAUAGUAGUGUUUAGGCUCACAUUUAACAGAGCAGAUAGACAGUGAUGAGUUCAGGAUACAAGCUUAUGCUACCUGGACAGUUUCUACAUGGAUUGACUGUUCCAAAUAGCUCAUCAAUGGAUUGGUUGUAAAAAUACUAAGGCAGUCUUAAGAACAUGGUGGAAUGUCCUGUAGCAUGGCCCUACGUCUAAGAUAACUGGCCUGGUUGGAAUCUACAAGGCAGUACUGGUGCAUGUGCUUUCUUUCUGGUCCACCGACUUCCAUCUCUGGAAGUUUAAACAGAGGCAAUGCUGUACAGACUGCUCAAUAGCUCCCCAUUCCUGGAGGGUGAAGAAGCAUUUCAACAUAGACUGCGUCCUAACUAUUAAGUUACAUCACACACUCACCAUGUUUUAGAAGAACAUGACAACAGGCACAGAUUACUUUGAAAGUAUGCCCAAAACACAUUGACAAAACUCAGACACUGCUGGAUCUUUGACAAUCCAGAAAACUACACAGCACAGCACACAGGGCAAUAUGCUCUAGUUACUAUUCAGAGAUAACGUUUUGCUAUCUCUUCACUGGUCAACAGCUGCUCUUUCUGCCAUGGAGUACUCAUUUGAGAGGAGGAAGGCUUUGUUACCCGCAAUGGAGAAGAAAAGUUCAGUAUUGUCUACAAACACAUGACAAUUUUGAAUAAUUUCAAUAUAAAGAGUCAUAUACAGUUUACACAAAGGAAAAAGGUCAUGAAACAUCCAAUAAGCCCUGACAUUUCAUUUCCACUAGAGGUGAAUAUGAAGUGGAAUCUCAGUUAUGGCAAGUCCCAUAUGAGGAUUACAAAUUUACAAGCCAACACUGAAAACGACAUUUCAAAAGAGACAGCAGAGUAAAACAAAUGCCCAGCUCUUUCAGAGCCUUUCCUUCAGAAAGUCUUUUUUUUUUUUUUUUACUAGCAUCUUUUGCUAUUUAAAAAUAUCUUUCCAGUAGUAAGGAUAAUUUACUGCCUAAUCAUGGGGUUCUUACCUAAAAGGACUCACAGUGCAAAAUUGCUGAACUGCAUAAAACUAAUUGCUUACGUGAGCUUCAGCGCUCGAAAGUAAAGAAGGCACCAAUAUAAAAAGAAACUUUACAAAGAACUUCUGGGCGAUCCUAGAGCUACAGACCAGCAAGUCUUACUUCCACAGAAAGCAAAUUGGUAGAUAUUACAGUGGAGGAGAACAUAGAAAGACGUGCCAAUAAACAGGAUGUACAGAGGAAGAUUUGAUGUGGCUCUUGCAGACGGAUGUCAUGACAUGAUCCAUUGAGUUCCAUCAAGAGUCAGCCAGCAUGCAGG